This is a long non-coding RNA of Triticum aestivum (bread wheat), 690 nucleotides long. RefSeq lists it as uncharacterized. The transcript has 3 exons. Lineage: Eukaryota; Viridiplantae; Streptophyta; Magnoliopsida; Poales; Poaceae. The record is from RefSeq and is a predicted model, not a curated record.
CCCUCUCCCACGCCCCUCCACUUGACCUAGUCGACUCCCGCCGCCGUCGCCGCCAUGCCUCGCCUCGCCACCGUGGCCAUCGAGCUCCCCGAUGGCUAGGAACGUGUCCAGAAGCACCAACGUCGUCCGCCGCAUCGUCCACGACCACGAGCUCGAGCUGGGCGUCUCUACAUCACCGGGAUCAAGCGCUUCUUCCCCUCGGCCGCCGGCGCCUCUCCAACGAAUUUCGGCGCCCUCUGCUGCUCCCGGCCACCAAUGAGCCUCCGUGAGCUCCCUUGACUACGAGACCGCCACCGCUGCUGCCCCGGUUGACUACGGUGUUGACGACCCCUCCUUCUUGCCAGAGCAACCAGACGUCGCAACCAGAUAUUGGAGCCCAGGAGCCAGCCGCCACCGUCGAUGAUGACCUCUACUAUACCGAGGGUGCCUAGUACUACGUGCAGGCCGUCGACGGCUAAGAGUAGUUAGGAGGAUCCCAGGCAGGAGGCAUGCACCUCUUUCGAUCUAUAUCCCAGUUUGUGCUAGCCAUCUUAUGGCACCUUGUUUAACUUGUGUCUAUACUCAGAUAUUGUUGCUUCCACUGACUCAUUUCUGUUCUAGCACUUGUAUCCGAGACCUUGAGGCCCCUGGCUUGUACCAUGAUGCUUGUAUGACUUAUUUUACUUUAAAAUUGUGUUGUGAUAUUUCCCA